UGGGGAAUAUUGCGCAAUGGGCGAAAGCCUGACGCAGCGACGCCGCGUGAGGGAUGAAGGUUUUCGGAUCGUAAACCUCUGUCAGAAGGGAAGAAACCGCACUGUGCUAAUCAGCAGUGCCUUGACGGUACCUUCAAAGGAAGCACCGGCUAACUCCGUGCCAGCAGCCGCGGUAAUACGGAGGGUGCAAGCGUUAAUCGGAAUUACUGGGCGUAAAGCGCACGUAGGCUGCUUUGUAAGUCAGGGGUGAAAUCCCACGGCUCAACCGUGGAACUGCCUUUGAUACUGCUUAGCUUGAAUCCGGGAGAGGGUGGCGGAAUUCCAGGUGUAGGAGUGAAAUCCGUAGAUAUCUGGAGGAACAUCGGUGGCGAAGGUGGCCACCUGGACCGGUAUUGACGCUGAGGUGCGAAAGCGUGGGGAGCAAACAGG
Molecule: ribosomal RNA, 429 nt
Filed under: Fusobacteriota bacterium
Lineage: Bacteria; Fusobacteriati; Fusobacteriota
Description: Fusobacteria bacterium partial 16S ribosomal RNA
Rfam family: Bacterial small subunit ribosomal RNA
Source: RNAcentral